Molecule: ribosomal RNA, 254 nt
Filed under: uncultured bacterium
Lineage: Bacteria
Description: partial 16S ribosomal RNA
Rfam family: Bacterial small subunit ribosomal RNA
Source: RNAcentral
CACGUAGGGACCAAGCGUUGUCCGGAUUCAUUGGGCGUAAAGAGCUCGUAGGCGGUUCGAUAAGUCGGGUGUGAAACCUCCAGGCUCAACCUGGAGACGCCACCCGAUACUGUCGUGACUAGAGUCCAGUAGGGGAGCGUGGAAUUCCUGGUGUAGCGGUGAAAUGCGCAGAUAUCAGGAGGAACACCAGCGGCGAAGGCGGCGCUCUGGGCUGGAACUGACGCUGAGGAGCGAAAGCGUGGGGAGCGAUCCGG